AUGACAUCUUGUGACAUUCAAAAGGAGCUUGCAAUGUGGUGUGCACAUGAAGUUACCAAGAGGAUCAGGGCAGAGCUUGGUGAUAAAAAAUUCUCUGUGCUUAUUGGUGAAUUGCGUGAUAUAUCAGUGAAAGAGCAAAUGGCGGUGAUCUUGAGGUUUUCGAAUGACAGAGAAAAGGUCGUGGAACGAUUUAUUGCUCUGCACCAUGUCAAAGAUACUACAUCUGAGGCACUAAAGAAUGCUAUUUGUGGUAUUCUUGAUCAUUAUAAGUUAUUUAUUUCAAGGAUACGAGGGCAAGGAUAUGAUGGUGCUUCAAAUAUGAGAGGCAAGUUUAAUGGUUUGCAGAAAAAGAUGAUAGAUGAAAACCCUUUUGCUUUCUAUGUUCAUUGCUAUGCUCAUCAUUUGCAGUUGGUGGUUGUCUCUGUUGCAUAG
Molecule: ribosomal RNA, 432 nt
Filed under: Triticum aestivum (bread wheat)
Lineage: Eukaryota; Viridiplantae; Streptophyta; Magnoliopsida; Poales; Poaceae
Description: partial small subunit ribosomal RNA
Source: RNAcentral